This 586-nucleotide ribosomal RNA is filed under the name uncultured bacterium. Its description in RNAcentral is "partial 16S ribosomal RNA". It matches the Rfam family "Bacterial small subunit ribosomal RNA", at positions 355 to 1375 of the family's 1533-position model. The record is from RNAcentral.
UGGGGAAUUUUGGACAAUGGGCGAAAGCCCGAUCCAGCAAUGCCGCGUGUGUGAAGAAGGCCUUCGGGUUGUAAAGCACUUUUGUCCGGAAAGAAAUCCUUGGCUCUAAUACAGUCGGGGGAUGACGGUACCGGAAGAAUAAGCACCGGCUAACUACGUGCCAGCGGCCGCGGUAAUACGUAGGGUGCAAGCGUUAAUCGGAAUUACUGGGCGUAAAGCGUGCGCAGGCGGUUUGCUAAGACCGAUGUGAAAUCCCCGGGCUCAACCUGGGAACUGCAUUGGUGACUGGCAGGCUAGAGUAUGGCAGAGGGGGGUAGAAUUCCACGUGUAGCAGUGAAAUGCGUAGAGAUGUGGAGGAAUACCGAUGGCGAAGGCAGCCCCCUGGGCCAAUACUGACGCUCAUGCACGAAAGCGUGGGGAGCAAACAGGAUUAGAUACCCUGGUAGUCCACGCCCUAAAACGAUGUCAACUAGUUGUUGGGGAUUCAUUUCCUUAGUAACGUAGCUAACGCGUGAAGUUGACCGCCUGGGGAGUACGGUCGCAAGAUUAAAACUCAAAUGAAUUGACGGGGUCAUAGCUGUUUCCU